Molecule: ribosomal RNA, 605 nt
Filed under: Persicaria perfoliata (mile-a-minute weed)
Lineage: Eukaryota; Viridiplantae; Streptophyta; Magnoliopsida; Caryophyllales; Polygonaceae
Description: eukaryotic LSU rRNA
Rfam family: 5.8S ribosomal RNA (bases 205-360)
Source: RNAcentral
UCGAAACCUGCACAAGCAGAAAGACCCGCGAACACGGUUACAACCACCGGGGGGGCGACGCUCGGCCAAACACCGGCGACGUCACCCCGAAACCAACAAACCCCGGGGCGGAUUGCGCCAAGGACCAUGAACAAUAGCGCGUCCCACGCCCCUCGGUUGCCCGAAGUGCGCGUGGGGCGACGUGUCGUUUCGAUACAUUAGAACGACUCUCGGCAACGGAUAUCUCGGCUCUCGCAUCGAUGAAGAACGUAGCGAAAUGCGAUACUUGGUGUGAAUUGCAGAAUCCCGUGAACCAUCGAGUCUUUGAACGCAAGUUGCGCCCGAAGCCUUCGGGCCAAGGGCACGUCUGCCUGGGCGUCACGCACCGCGUCGCCCCCCACCCCAACACAAGGGCUGUGGGGGCGGACUUUGGCCCCCCGUGCGCUCCCCGCUCGCGGUCGGCCUAAACAAAGACCCCGUGGCCGCGAAGAGCCGCGACGAUUGGUGGUUUACUCGUGGCCCAGUGCCCCGAGCAUCGCGUCGUGGCCUCGGCGGCCCACGGGAGCUCAAAGGACCCAGAGGAGGAACCCCGUCACCCCGAGUGCCGUGGGGACCUCCCAACCGUU